AUACUUAAAACCCACAGGAUAGAAAACCACCACAGAGAUACAGCUAUUAUUAUUAUUUUUAUUAUGAUUAUUAUUAUUUGGGUGGUUAAUCUCAGCACUGCAGUGAUUAGCACUGAUGGGGGUGGUGUAUGAGCUGCUAGCGUGUGUGUAUCCUGUGGGUGGAGUCCUGUGGUCUAUCUUGUGGGCGGAGUCAUGUGGUCUAUCCUGUGGGCGGAGUUCAGGGUGAAGGGAGUAGAAGUUGAUAUAACUAAUUUUAACUUGUUUCAGUUUUUGCUGAUCAGGAUGUAGAAAGAGGAAAAAACGUGAAGCUCAUUUGUGACGCAAACACAGGAAACGUCACGGCGACGUGGGCGAAGGACGGCUGUCAGCUGCGUGUGAAGGGGAAGCACAUCUCAACCGCCAGGAACUCGACCUUCAGCCUGGAGAUUAAAAACGUAGAGAAGGAUGUAGGAAAAUACAGCCUAACUUUAACCAACAUCACCGGCAGCGUCUCCCAUUCCGCCAACAUCACCCUCGCACUGAAGGAAUGGAGGAACAUACCAAAAGAGCCGAAUGAAAUGAUAAAAUCCCUGAAAAAUCUGAAGAUCUGUACUGAUGAGGUCACAGAACUCCGCCUCCUCCUGCACGGUCCAGUUGGGGCAGGAAAAUCCAGCAUCAUCAACACCAUUAAAAGUAUUUUUGAAAAUCGUCCGUUUGUUAACGCUCCGGCAGCGACAGGUUCCUCCACCAGUUAUACUCUGAAUUACAAGAAAUACAGUGUGGGACGUUUUGCCAUCUAUGAUGUGAAAGGUCUGGAACGUACUUCAGGAGGGGUUAAUCCUGAUGACAUCAUCAAUGCUUUAAAAGGCCACAUAAAAAAUGGCUACAAAUUUGGUGAUGAUCCAAUAAAUACAGAUGAUGAAUUUUACAACAUCAGUCCCGGCCUGAACGAUAAGAUCCACUGUUUGAUCAGCGUCAUCCCGGCAAGCAACCCCUCUGGUCGGGGACCCGACGGCAAAGAGGCCUUUAUAGAUGAGGAGAUGGUGUAAAAGCUGAAGAACAUCAGAGAAAACGCUAGUAAACUGGAAAUCCCUCAGGUGGUUUUCAUGACGAAGGUGGAUAAAGCGUGCCCCACGACGAAGGAGGAUCUGAGUAAGAUCUACACGAGCAAGAAGAUCAAGGAGAAAAUGGAGGUGUGCAGUAAUUUGCUGAACGUUCCAAUGAACUGCAUCUUCCCAGUCCAGAACUACCAUGAAGAGAACAAGCUGGACCCGGUGCUGAACAGCCUGAUGCUGGAUGCCCUAAACCAGGUGGUCCACUGGGCCAACGACUACCUGAAGAGCGUCUACGAGUCGCAGAAACAUGUCGAGUGAUCGUACUCAGCAGUAGAACAGAACACCAAUACACUGCUUAGCCGUAACUUUAGCACCACCUGCUUAUUACUGCGUAUGAUCCUCUGCACUGCUACAACAGCUCUUUAUUAUAUAAUGUUCUUCAUGAAUGUGCUUUAUAUUACUGUUGUUCAUUAAUGUACUUUAUUGUAUACCCUGUUUUGAAACGUGAAUAAAGGAAAUGCCACAUC
This is an RNA transcript of Astyanax mexicanus (Mexican tetra), 1561 nucleotides long. It is a transcript of the gene named interferon-induced protein 44, with no coding region annotated. The transcript has 7 exons. Lineage: Eukaryota; Metazoa; Chordata; Actinopteri; Characiformes; Acestrorhamphidae. The record is from RefSeq and is a predicted model, not a curated record.